RNAcentral lists this signal recognition particle RNA (272 nucleotides) under Jatropha curcas. Its description in RNAcentral is "Plant signal recognition particle RNA". It matches the Rfam family "Plant signal recognition particle RNA". The record is from Rfam by way of RNAcentral. Lineage: Eukaryota; Viridiplantae; Streptophyta; Magnoliopsida; Malpighiales; Euphorbiaceae.
GCCGGGCUUGGUGACGCAAGUCUGUGACCAAGCGGGGGCACCAAAUCAAUGGAACAUUGCACAAGCCUUGAUGGUUGGGCUCGAAGGGAAUAACUUCUUGCUUGCCCGUUCCAAGCUGAGAGUUGAGCCUCGGGUCUCGGGCGAGGGAACCGCGUCAGGCUGGUUUCACAGAGCAGCAGCUACUUCUCGCUCGUGGCAGUGGAAGGAUAACGAACUGGUGCCACUUGGGUCCGCAUGACCAGAUGGGCUGUGCUAAUUGAACCAUCAUUUUU